UGGCAGCACGUCAGCACCUAGAAUCACAAAACCUUUAAGGUUGGAACUAAGAUCACCAAGUCCAACCACCAGCCCAUCCCCACCAUGCCCACUAACCACGUCCCUCAGUGCCACAUCUCCAUGCUUCUCAAAGACACAAAGCUUCACAGGGACAGUAAUACCACCUCCCUGUGCCAGUGCAGUGCAGCUCUUUCAAAGAAUAAGUUUUUCCUAGUAUUUUCCUAGUUCCUCAAAUGUUGGAAGCAGGGAUCAACUAUAUGUUGUUGCUCUUGAGGCCCAUCUAAACCUUUUCAGAAGGAGAGGCUCUGGCAGUUGUGAUCAUGAACAGCAAGCAGAAAAGUUUGGAAGGUUAUGUAAGUACAGCGUAAGUUAUGUAAAUGCUUUAAGCUGCCUGAAGAGGUGGUGGAGUUUGCUCCUUGGAGAUUUCCAAAGAUGUGGGUCUGCCUGGACGUAGGUCUGGGCACCUUGCUCCGAAUGACCCCAUUGGAGCAGAGGUUAGAGAGAUGGACCCAGAGCUGACUUCUGAUCUCAACCAUUCUGUGAUUCCGAAGUUGAGUGUACGUACAGAAAUGCAGAGAUAGCGACUGGCUGAGUGCUGGGAUGUGCCUGCCUGGCCGCUUCCCUGGUCCCCAUGUUGUUCCCCAUGUGAUCACGACAGGAGGGAUCCCCUGGGUUCAUGCAUGGGUGGACAGAGCUUUGAAGCAGAAGCAAGAUGUCAGGAAUUCUCUGAUUUACAAGAGCAAAGGGCUCUCAUCAUUCCUGUAGGAACAGAACACCAUCACAUACCCCACUUUUCUGCAGUGCUCACUUCCUACAGAAAGAUUUUACUUUGAAAUGAAACACCUUUCCUGUGCUUUUUCAGCAUGGGUAGCUAGCAUGAACAUGAAAGCAGCCAUGGGCUGGGUGCUGGGGCUGUAUAGGGGCCCCUCUGCCUCUGCAAGAGCUCUUUGUGUGACUGCUUUGUUUAGCAUCGCCUUUUCAGACAGGCAUUUUUCAACCCUUAGCAUUGUUCAGGUUCUACUGCAGAGUCAAAUGUUAAUCGGUGCGUUGUAGUAAAAUGUUUUAUGGGACAAUUUAGCUUGAGCUGUACCCUCUCCCUUUCCAUUGUUUUUUCUCAAGGAGCACAAGGGGCUGAGUGAUGCUGUUUUCCAGGUGUGAGCUCUUCUGACCACUCGCCAUCCUUUCAAGCAGGGAAUGCAGUUAGAGCACUAAAGUUGGAACUGGUGUUUCUCCUGUCUGUGGCAUGUGGAUGAUCCUGUUUGCAUUUGUUGGCUUUGAGUGGCAAUCAUUGCUCCCCACACAGAUACCCAAGUGUGACAUCCAUCCCCAAGGACAAGGGCCAUGCUCAGGCAUCUUGUCCAAAGGGGACCACGUUUUAUGCCCAUCUCCUUAAGAAACCCAUCCCAUGUCCAACCUUCCUUGUCACAAGUGGCACAGUGCUGGACGUGGUUCCCUUGGAAAAUAAAAUCCUGCAUCACAAAGAUGAAACUGUUUUGUUCAUGGCUCCCAUGGACAAGUGUGUUCUGAGAAGACUGACUCAAGUCAGAGGUAAAGAUGCUGCUCACACCUCAGCUGAUCUCAACAGCCAUCUGAAAACCCCACUAGAGGUAUAAAAAGACACAUCUGCAAAUCAAGGUGUUAUUUGGACACUCUUCUCUUCGGGAAAAUUCCAUAAAGUUAAAUAGUGAUAGGAGCAGAAUGCUUGAAGUAUUGAAUAUGCUGCUAUGUACUUUUUUUCUCCAUAUACUGUAGAAUUUUUGUGCAUAUCAAGAUCAUUUAUAUGAACAUCUUUAACACUUUAUUUUCUAUUCCAUUUUGUUAGCAGGAUCUGAAACAGAAAACAUAAGUGUCCAUUACAGUAUGUACAGCAUCCUCCUAAGGAUUUUGUUUCUGAGAUCCACAAAAGAAGUGUGUUCUUCAUCAGUUAAAGCUGUCCCUUUUUAGCAUCUCCUAAUCCCUCCCAUUGUUGGAGGUCUUCAUCCAGCUGCAAAGAUAAUCCUUCCACUUGGAGGCCUAGGCUCCAAAAUUCACCCUCUGCACAGAAUUUCCCAGUCUUGAUUUAAUGUUUUGGGUUUUGCUCAAAUAAGAGGCAUGGCAGCGUUGAAACAAGAAUGUACAAAUGCAUCUUGUCUUGUGUUGGUACUGUGGAAGCAUUUCCAAUCACAAAAUUCUGCAGGAAAAAGGGCUGGAUGGGAAAUUUCCAUGUAUGCUGGAAAUAGGCAUAGUAAAUAGCUGGGCUGUUUUCUACUCUGAGUCUCAGAGGACCAGAAUCUGUUCAGGGAUUUCUCUCUCUCUUUUUUUUUUUCUCCCCAUCUCCCAAAUGUUUAGUUUUUCUGCUUUCUUCUUUUGGCCUUUACCUGUUUGAUCUUGUGGGAAAAGCCAUUAAAGACUGAGGAGGCCCAUCAGUGAAUAAUUGCUAGCACCCUGUAAUUGAACUAAUCAGAGGUGGUUAAUUGUGAUGGGAAAAUAAGUGUAGAAGGGCCACCGCUGUGGUUUGCAGGCUGGGGAUGAAGCUGCUGAGCUGACUGCUGACAGACAAUGAAUGAGAAAUAUUUGAGUUUGGGUUCUCUUCCAAGGCAUUAGGUGACUCGUGGUUUGUAGCCCUAUCUCUAGGCACCUCCAAUCCCUGAGGCACAGUUAAGCUGCAUUAAUUCCAGGUUUUGUUACCUCACCAUGACUUACUCCUUUUUCCAACUUGGAUUGCGAUGUGCCUUAGAUGGAAAAGCUUUGUUGAUGUCUUCUUUUGCCUCUUGUUUAUAGAAGAAGGUGUGAUCUGGAAUGAGGGGUUUGAAAUUACUACCCCAGUACCUGAGGGAAAUCUCUACAACCUGAUUCCUUCUCUGUUUGGAGAACUCUACAACUUGAGUACUUACAUCACUAUUCUUCUGCCCUCUGGGUUGCUCUGGUUUACCUAAAUAUGCUGUUUGGGGUGUAUUUUGUGAUCCUGACCCGAGUGAGAUAAGAAGGCUUUGACAUGUCUUUUCAGCUGUGAGAUAUUCAACCAAAACUCCUACAUCAGGCAGUGAUUGGGGUAUCACUCCUAAGAGGCAAGGGUAGACCCUGCACAGAGCCUGGAUGGGAAAACACCAAAAAGCCUUUUUUUUUUUUUACUUUCUCUUCCUUUAAACUUUAUCGAGUGUUCCUGUCAUCCUGCUUUUUUGGAAGAACCACAUCCCUGCCUUCUUUUGCAGAGCUCACCCUAUUUGUGCUUCCUUGGAUACGUGCCUUAAGUUGAAAUGAUUGUUGUGUUUUGCUUUCCUCAUAUUCUGACCAAACAUCUAGACUAUGGCUUGGAUGAGCCUCUUGUGCCAGCUUUUAUUGUUUGUUGACAAGAGACUUGAUUUGCUUUUCUUUUUCCUUUUCAUAACUGAUGGAUGUGAAUGAUAGGAGAACAAUGCCCUUUUUAUUUUCUCCUAAGGAAGGAUCCUCUCUUGGAUGAGAGCUCCUGGGUUGUUUUGUUCAGAGCUUGUGUAGAAAUGUAUGGAAAGAUGGUAGAAGUUUGUGGAAACUAUGUUGGGUGGUGGAAUUUCUGGCCAGGGAGAAAUAUCCCUACCUAAAAUACCUGAAGCGGGGAUGAGUUGAGUGGUCACCUCAGAAAAGAGAAACUGAAGCUGCAUCACAACUGUAGAUUGAAACGCACUUUUCUGCAUGCUUACAGUAGAUCAAUUGCUCUUCUCCUCUUGCACCUUUCUCACAUCAUAUGGGUAUCUCAAUAACCAUUGAGCAGGGAGAAGGUAGAAAAGAGCUUUCGUUCCUUUCUCUCCUCUUCUUCCUUGUUCUCUGUCCCCACUGAAUGUCUGCAAGACCAUGAGGUUAGAGCUUUGCAGAACCAGCUUUUGAAAUGUCCUGAAAUGAUAACCAUUUCCUACCCAGCCCUACCCCUCCUGGGGGGGCUUGAGCUGCCGCAGGGGAUUUGCAGGAUGUGGGUACCUCUGUGUAUCCAAACGCCUGCUUCUCACAAAGAAACAUUUCUGUUCCUCUGACACUGUUUUUGUGUCACAGUGAUCAUUUUUCAUUUUUAAAGGCCGGCAUUCCCUUCAACUAUCAACUUGCCACUCCUUUCGUGUGAUGUAUUGGGGACCCUUUGGGGACUUCUGUGAAUACCAGAGAUUGCCUUCAAAGAAACUGCGUUUUUCCUGUUUUACCUGCUGGCUCUCAUCACUUGCUCUUCAACCUAAAAAAAUCCCUAACCCCAUGAGAAGGAAACCAGACAGUGUUCCGCCACCAGGAUAAGAUGCUAACUGUACCUUACACUGCCAAGCCUGCAAAACAUGAAUUCAAUCCCAAUUUAAAGUUGUUUUUAAACACUUAGGCUGCCUGCACAGCUCACAGAAAAUCUCGUUUGUCUGGUUUACAUGUCUCUUGGUGUUUGUUCCACUUCAUCCUGCAGUGUCCUCUUGUCUGUCUGCUCUUGGCAAGAGAAGCUGCCACUUCAUAAGCAUUAGAGAUGGGCUUCUCACACUGUAGACUUACAAAUAAUAAUAGAAACCAAUAAUGUUCAUACUGUAAAUGCGAGUUAAGAAACAGCUGUAUGUGGAAGAAGUAUUCAUAUUUUAUGAGAAUCUCUGUGCAGUCAGUGAGGUACACACAUAGCUGUGCUGAACAGGUGAACAAAUAGAAAUUUAGGCUACAAAUACCAUUUCCUAAACAGGAGUAGGGGCCUGCUUGCUUUUCCAGAAUCAUUCUGGUUUUGAACAUGGAGAGAGGCGAGGAGCUCAGAAGGGUGCAUGCGGGAAUGCAGGUGUGUCUUCAGGUUGCAUAUCAGGGACAUGAAGAGCGUCCCCAGGGCAGCAGGCACAGCCCUGAGCUGCUGGAGUUCAAGAAACGUUCGGACAGCUUUCUCAGAUACAUGGUCUGAUUUUUGGGUGGUCCUCUGUGGAGCCAGGAGUUGAACUCAGUGAUCCUUACGGGCUGCUUCCAACUCAGGAUAUUCUGUGAUUAUGUUCUUUUCAGUGAAUCUUAACAGUUAUUUUCCUUAUAAACAUGGUGUUACACACAAUCAAAAGAUGUUAAAAUGUGUCAUAUUAAUGACCUGCUUCAUAUUCAAGUUUCGUUCUGGCAUUCCGUUCUCAGCCACUAAUUUGAGUAACAUUUUAUUCACACUUGUUAACCGUCAGGAGACUCUAACUCAGUAGAAGUGGAUAUUCAUUGAUUUCCCUUUGAUAAUGAAUUGAUACAACACUAAAAAACAUUGUCAGCCUUCCUGUACCUGUUGCAGUACCUGAAAAGAGUGUGUCAUGUAGGCCAGACACUUCAUAUCUGACAAGGAUUCCUUGGGGGGAAUUCUUGUGUUUGAUUUUAGUGGAAUAAAUGAGCCCCGAAAAGAGCCAGUUAAAGUAUGAGACCACGAGAGCAUGCUAAUGUAUCUGCCUAAUUGUUUCCAAAACCUCUCCAGAAUGCUGCCUAUGGUCCAGGACUCUCCUCCAGUUAGCAGCUGAAGCCUUCAAAGACUCAGGAGUGUUACCACAGGGGAAAAAAUAGUAGGGGAGCAAACAGCAUAGCCAACACUCCUAAAUCUGAUUGAUUGACCAGCUUGUCUCCUUCUCUCUGUCAACCUAAACCAUGUCAAACUGCAUUAGAUCUUCACAAUAAGAGCAGCCAUCACCUAUCACAGGAACAGGCUGCCCAGAGAACUUUUUGGGUGCCCCAUCCCUAGAGGUACUCAAGGCCAGGUUGGAUGGGGCCCUGGGCAGCCUGAGCUGGUGGGGUGCAGCUCUGCCCAUGACAGGGGUUUGGAACUGGAUGGUCUUUGAGGUUCCCUCCAACCUAAUCCAUUCUAUGAUUUUAUGAAUGGAAAGCAAGCAGCAGCUGAGUAUGCAUCUUUGGAGGAAACUGGAAAGAUUUUGACCCCUAAAGUCUGUUGAGGGUCCUGUUGUGUUUUUUUUUAACUCUGCUGGAAAUCUUGAUGGUUGGAACACACCCAGUUUGUUUUUAGAGCUGUCUGGGGAGUUGUCUGGAUGUCAAUGAAAUUUGUAAUGGCAAUGGCACAGAGGAACCCAACAAAAACAGUGUUAAAGGAGGGAUACUCAAGCAUGAAGAAUCAUUUUGAAUGACUUGUUUCUGCAUCAUCCAACCAGACCUGUUAGACAUGGGGAAGCUUCAAAUUCGGGCUUUUCCUUUAGACUGCAAAAUGUAAAAUCUGUGUCUAUGGAUGUGCAUGCAUGUGUAUGCAUCAUGGGGACUGAAGCAGAAAGCCUCAUGUGUGACCUACUGUGGGGAACCUGCUUCAGCUGGGAGUUGGUAUAGAUGAUCUCCAGAGGACCCUUCCAACCUCUUACAAUUCUGUGAUUGUGUUGUUUGGUCCAACUGUUAGCUGAAAUGGACACAGGGAGUGAUCCAUAUGAUUCAACUCCUUGCAGCUCUGCUGUGGGGAUGCUCUGCUGGGUGCUGGAGCAAGGUGGGAGCACAACAUAUGAUCCAUGCUCAUGUCUGAAGCAAGAUAUAUGGAGGCUGACUUUGCAGUGUAGGUCAUUGAGCAGUGGCAACUUUCAAAGGCUGCAAGGUGAUGAUCUGAGCCCCAUUCAGAGCGUGGAUUCAGUCCUGUGAGGGUGGGAGAGCACCAUGCUGGAGCUUGUUGACCUUAUUGGGAAUCUCAGUGCACUCAGUAUCUCCAAACUGAGUGAUAGGUACUCAGCAGUACUGUCGUAGCACAUGUUCCUUGGUGCUGCCAUCGAGGCUUCUCAUGUGCAGCAGUCCUUCUUUAGUGACAUUACUAAUUGGAGGGGAAAAACAGCAUGAGGCUAUAACACAAUGUAAAUGUCAGAAUUUGGACAUGGUGGACUUAUUUCUGCACAGGGAAGAAGGUACUGGAGGGGCAUCUGGAGGGACUUUGCAUCUGACAGCCCCAAGUUGUGAUCUGAAGUAAUUCUAGGACAAAGCCAUGUCUUAGUUAAUCAUGUAAGACAGUUCUGAGAGUGGGGGUAGGGGAUAGCCUGCUGCUCCUCGUAUUGAUCAGGAAUUAAUGUCUAACCUUUAAAAAUGCAGUGUAGAAGCUGAGUGAGAUUGUGAAACCCUACUUUGUGCUGUCUGCGAUCAGUUACCUCCGGGGACCCGCAGAGCUCAGGCUGCUGAUUACAGAUGCAUUUGGAAAAACCUGAAUUUUCAAUUUUUCACAUGAAUCUCAUAAAGUGAAACUGAGUCCUGCUGGGAUUUAUGAAAACUGGUUUGCUCUCCACUGCAUGCAAUACAUCUCCUUUGCUAAGUUGGGAGAGCUCCGACAGGAGAGGCACCACAAGAAUUAUUCCACCCUCAGCAAGUUAAUUGCUGCAUCGUCAAGUAGUACAGAAUCCAUCCUGUCCCUUCUGCUUUCUCUCUCUUCUCCCCCCUGUUCCUCUCCAAGAGCUGACGUGUGAUGUCUUUUAUUUUUUUCUCCUUCUUGCCAUCUGUUUCGUGUUUGUGACUUGGGGAGGGUGGGUGUGUGGUAGUGGAGCUUGUGAUGGAGUUUGCUGGUGGAGGCAUUUCUUUCACUCAGUUAAUUAGAUUUGUGUUUUCCUUACUCCCAGUUCUAAGGGCCAUGCAAAUAAGACUAAAUUAUGCAUUAGCUAUAUACCCCAGUGUUUUAAAUGCUCCUGUUGUUGGGGGACACCGACUCUAUCCCAUAUUCCUCCCUUUCAUAGAAUUCAAUUAUAUUUAAACUAUUAACAGGGAAAGUCUAAAAAUUCUAUUAAAAUGUCAGUUUAAUAAAUCUUCCAAGGUUUAAUCUUUCAUUUCUGGACCGGGGGAAGGGGAGGAUGAAUUAUGACAAUUUUAAGUUUUCCCAGAGCAGCCCCUGCAUGUUAAAUUGUCUGUAACUCUCAGCAUUACAGAACUUGUCUCUAUUUGUAAAACAAUUUCAAGCAAUGGGAGGGUGCCCAGGUUUUGUUGUGAAACAUGUGGUGGCUGGGGGAAUUUGGACCCGGGCUUUUGGUUUAAGCCAUUACAGAGAAACAAGAGAAACAGAGCAAUUCACGUCCACUCUGGAGACCAUCUCCCAUCCCUCUGCUGGCUCUCCAAGAUAAGGAUAUCUGGUUCUAUACCUGUGAUUGGCACUCAGCAUUCAUACUACACAGAUCAUUGUCAUCUUUCAUUCUCUCUUCCUCCAUAUGCACCUGUGGAGUACCAAAGUGGGACCCCAUUGGGCUGAGAGCUGUGGGAACAGCUUAUGUAAGGAAUGCUCAGGUUGGAUAACAGGGAAAGGCUCUGUGCCAGAAGGCAUUGAGCUACCCAGGGCACCACCCUGAGCCGUGGGAACCCAAUGAAGGUUUGGACAACACUCCUAGUCAUAUGGUCUGAUUUUUGGAUGGUCCUGCAUAGGUUGGACUCACUGAUCGCUAUGGGUUCCUUCUAACUCAAUCACAGAGUCAUCGUAGAAUGGCCUGGGUUGAAAAGGACCACAAUGCUCAUCCAGUUUCACCCCCCCUGCUAUGUGCAGAGUUGCCAACCAGCAGACCAGGCUGCCCAGAGCCACAUCCAGCCUGCCCUUGAAUGCCUCCAGGGAUGGGGCAUCCACAACCUCCUUGGGCAACCUGUUCCAGUGCCUGUUCCAGUCACCACCCUCUGUGUGAAAACUUCCUCCUAAUAGCUAACCUAAACCUCCCCUGUGUCAGUUUAAUACCAUUCCCCCUUGUCUUAUCACUAUCCACCCUCAUAAACAGCUGUUCCCCUUCCUCUUUAUAUGCUCCCUUCAAGGUUAACUUGGGUUAUUCUAUGACUCUUUCCUUUCCACCUGUGUGCUGUACUUCAGCCCUGACUGAAUGCCAAAACCGUGUCUCCUAUGUUUUCUUCAGCUCACCCUUGAUUUGAAGCUGUUCCAGUGUCUAGCACACAGGAAGCUUUCUACUAUCUCCUCUCAGCAUUCCUGUGCUUGAAAUCAGGACUCAUUUAUGACCAUAUAAAGAGAUGGCAAUGUUUCAGCCCAAACAAAGAAAAUCUAGCUCUUGGUCUUGCAUCUCUACAUCUGUAGCACAGAGGAUGCAAGCAAGGUGGGUUUUUGGAUACCCAAGACAUGAACAGAGCAUCCAGGAUUGCCCUGUGAUGAGGCUGCUCCUUCCAGUUAAAGAUUCAAAAGCAGAACAGCAACUUGUGUGGGGUAGGAAGAGGCCUGUCAUCUGGUCCAACACCCCUGCUACGAAAAUGGACACUUAUAGCUCCAUCAGGUGCUCAGAGCCUCAUCCAAACUGACCUGGAGUGUCUCCAGGGACGGGACACCCACCCCCUCUCUAGGCAACCUGUGCCAAUGUCUCGCCACCCUCCUUAUAUGUCCUCCUUAUAUCCAGUCUAAAUCUCCCUUCUUUUAGUUUGAAAUCAUUUCCCUGUGUCCUAUCACAACAGACCACCUUGCAUGAGAGUGUGAGAGGCAGGUCCGGCCUAUGAAAACAGGUUGUGAUUUUUGCUGGCUGUGCAGGCAUUGCUCAUGUGCUGAGGGCAGAUCCAGGAGUGGGAGCUAAACCACUGAAUGUGGGCUCUUCCAAGAAUGCACACUGAGAAGCAAAAUAUGUCCAUCUGUGGCAUGGACAGAGGCUGCAGUCAAUGCAUUUGAGAAUACUGCAUAGGUUUCCCCAACAACUGGGGAGCAACUCUUGGUGGGGAGCCUUGCAUUGCUCCCCAAAAUGGAAGCGCCUGGCACAGCACACAGAAAGUCCAACUCCUCAUCGUGAUUCCUUCUUGCAACCACAUUUUCAACUUCUCUCUGAUGUUUAAGCCCAGGAGAGUGAAAUUGCCACAUCCCAGCCCCGGGAAUAGAGAAAGUCAGUGACUAGCAAGAAGGGUCUAAAAGUUCUCGGUACCUUCUGGAGAGAAAGAGGAGAAAAACAAUUUGAUCCAAUGGCUUGGUCAGCCUGACUGCAGAGAUUAGCUGAUGUCAGGCUGUAGGGAAAGCGUGUGGGGUGCAGUGCUUUGUUUGGGUGAAUAAACCAUGCAUGUUCAUGGAAUAUUAAUUAAUAAUAAAUGAACACGCAUGAAUUAUUCAUGCUCACAAAAGCAAAUUUGCCUUGAAGGCAUAACACAAGACAGGUUUUAAGAUUUUUUUUUUCCUUUUUUUCAAACUGGGGGACGGAUUUGUAUAGAGCAUAACCGAUUGGUGGUAAUUUGCAUCCAAACACAGUGUGACUGUCACAGCCCCUGCUCAGCCACUGUAUCUCAGCACGCUGCACAGGCGCUCCCACUCCCACUAAUGCUAUUUUAGUCAUUCAUUUGUCUUCCAAGUUGCAUAGAGGGACCUACUUGCUCUGAAUCCCAUUUGACUCCAGCAGGCCAAAAGCGCUCCCCUGGGGUAAUGCUGCUGCUGUUGCAACAGGGAUGGAUUUGUCCCCUCACGUUUGUUCUGCUGACAGAUUUGUUCCACCAGCGUGUAGUGCAGAUGUCUCAUACAUGAUGCAGGAUGUCAGGUAUGAUUUGAAGCAGCGAGCAGACACAGGAAAUGCUGCUUCUGUGUUUUAAUUCGAAAUUGUGCUAAAGAUGCCAUAAGAACCUCUUGCUCUGCCAGUGUUUGUUCUUCUUGUCAAAAAAAACAAAACCUGUAAAAUGAAUUUCGAUAAAAUAAUGUCUUUGUGUCUUGAUGAAGAGCCACCAUGCCAUUGGAGGCUGCCCAUGACUUUGGGGAUAUCUUGACUCUGCUUUGAGCUUGUGUUCACCGACCAGAAAUGGCUUUCUGCCCAUUAGGAGCUGCAUGUGGGACAAGUGUCACCCUGCGGCUGUCGUGUUGUUUGCUGGACUCUGUAGUUGCUGACUUGCAGGGACCAGUGGUGUAAUGGGCUGAAGCAAUGCACAGAAAUAUGAGCGAGCAUCUUGUCAAGUUCCUGGUUCUGCUUCUGGUAUUUGAAGUGAAAUGCAAAGAUGUUCAGGUCAUCAAAGAUUCUUGGGCUGCCAUCAUAAAAUCAUAGAACGGCUUGGGCUGGGAGGGACCUCAAGGAUCAUCAAGUUCCAACACCCCUGCCACAGGCAGAGCCACCAACCUCCAGAUCUGGUAUUACACCAGGCUGCCCACCAUCCAACCUGCCUUGAGCACCUGCAGGGAUGGGGCACCCACAGCUUCUCUAAGCAGCAUUGCAAGUGCCUCACCACCUUCUCACUGAAAAAUGUCCCCUGACAUCUCACCUAUCUCCCCUCUUUUAGUUUAAAACCAUUCUUCCUUGUCCUAUCACUGUCUAUCUGUGUAAAAUGUUGAUUUUCUUCCUGCCUAUUAGCUCCCUUUAUAUAUUGGAAGGCCACAAUGAGCCCUCCCCUUUAUCAUCCAGGCUUAUGCUGAGAUAUGUCCCCCAUCUAUCCACAUCAUCAUAUUAGUGCCUAUCCAGAAUCUCAUACUAUGCCUUUCCUUAAAGAUGUGGGCAAAAUGUGGAAGCUGGACCUUGCUUCCUGCAUGGUGGGUGCACUGCAGCUCUCUCUGGGUGAUAAAACCUGUCCCUAAUAUUCUUCCCAGCUGUCUGGGUGGUGCAUGUUUGUGACACGGUGGCUGAAGUCCUUAUUUUGGGUGAUCUGCUGGGGAAAGGGCUGCUGACAGCUCCAAAAUUGGGUCAGGACCUGUGGAAGAGGAGAACGGUUUGAAGAUUUGCUGGGUGCCUCCGGGGGGCUGGCAGGGCAGGAGAAAUACGGUGUUUGUCAGCCUCCUGGACAUCAUUUCAUGGGAAAACUUAAAGGAAUGUUAAAAAUAGAGGUGAGAUCCCCAGACACAGCUCAGGUCUGCUAUGAAUCUGGCCUCAAACCAUUAAAAUGAUCUUAAACUCCUUUUUAUUUCUUUUCCUAUUUUUCCCCCCAGAAGCCUGCACUGACUUCCUCAGCUAAUAAAGAUUGGGGCCAUAAACUCUGCUGUGUUGUCCCAGCAAGGCCGUUCCUUUUGCUAAGCUUCUUCCUCCUGUCUUCAAGUUCCUGUUACUACAGUUUUAGUUUCUACAUUUGCAGCAAUCUUUCGUUGCUGAGCUGCUGCAGUUUGAUCCCUGCUUUUUAUCCUGAUUCCAUAACAAACAUGUUGUAAAGCCUCUGCUGCUGGUCUGCAGACGGUUUUUCCAGGAAAAGUGUUUCAUGUAUUACAACUUAAAACACGGGUGGAUUUAUUAGGAUUUAAUGUAUUGGGAGCUAAGCCUUUGGUCUCCCUUUUCAUAUGGUGGCGGAGGCAGACAGAUGGGAGUGAUCUGAGUAAUUUAUAUGUUAAGAAGUAAUAAUCUUUGCAGCCAUUUUAUCUGCCCAAAUGCUUUUACCUUUGAUCUUUCUGUUUUCGAGAAACACCUUGUGUUUUUUUUCCAUACUUCUUCGCCUGCCAAAGACAAACAUCUCUGAAGACUCCUUUGAGCAUUUCCCUCAGCUGAGGAGAAGCGAUGUCUGAUUGUCACUGCCCCAUCCAAAUGCCUCCACACUUAGCUGCAAAACUUCUUGGUAUUUAAGGGCAGAACAGCCAAGGGAAAAAUGCUCUCCAGAGCUUGAAAAGUGCAUUGUCCUCUCGCAAUGGAAAUCUGUAGCCCUAGGUCUCGUGGUAUUUAGAAGUCAGUAGAUUUACUAAUUAACGUUGCUCACUCAAUUAAAAAGCCCUUGAUCUGAGCCCACCAAUGGAUUUUUGGUAUCUGUAAAAAUCUUUGCCUUGUGUCUGAAGAUUUAGCGAUUUCUUUCUUUACUUUCAGACCAAGGCUCAGUGGGAGGAGACACGGGUCAACAAAAUGAGCUUUGGUGCUCCACUGCUCUGGCUGCAGAGGCUGUCCUGGGCUGCAGCUGGGAAGGGGCUUAACUGCAAUAAUUUACUAGGCGAGGUAAUUACUGGAUUAAGGGUGAGUGUUGUAGCACUGGGGGAUGGCACUGACUGAAGAUAAGGUUCUGUUAGAAGAAGGCAGUAGGGCCAGAGGAAGAGUGGCAAAGUCAUUCAUGAUGCCUCUUUUUGAAAUGUCCCACAGCUUGGGGAAUGAGGCAGAUGCCAGCUAAGUUUUACUUUAUUCUAUUUGGGCUAUAUCCAAGGAAGCUAGGAAGAGAAAUAUUUUUAUUUCACCAGGGUAAAGACUAUCAGUACAACACUGCCUCUCUUUCACCUCUUGCUAUAUAUAUGUGCUCGCAAGAAGGCUCUUCACAGCCCACUUUGUUUGUGUGUUAAUUGUUUUCUCUGUCUGGCACUUUUCAUCUGUUGAGUCUAUUGUUGUUGUUUUCCAGUGGUAAAUUCAAGCUGAGCAUCACAUGAACUGGUCUUGUUUUUUAUGGGAAAUUCAAAUAAAGUUUUCUCCAUAAGAAAAACCCCUGAAGUGACAGACUAGAUAAAGACAUUUUAUCCUAAGAACAUAAGCACAGCAUGAUGCACAGAUCUCUUGAGUUGACAGAAGCCCAGCUCUCUGUAGCAUUAAGGCUUAUUUCAGGGACUUCCUUAAGAAAUUUAGGCCCAUAUAUGCCCUCCAUUUAGAAAUCUCUUUUUCUCUUGCAAGGUUCACUAUCUUGCUGAAGUCAUGAGCCAUAAUAAAAUCUCUGAUCAUGCUCCUUUUUUUAGAAAUGCUUCCAUCAUCAUUUGUAGUACAUUCCUUCAUACUUUGCAGCAUGGACAUCCAUUGCACCCACCAUGCAGACACAGCAACUGUAUGCAUGAAGGUAUGCAAUGCCAAUGCUUCCCAUGUACCUCUACAGCCUUCAGAACUCACGGUGAUGAAAUUAUUCCCAUGGUGUUUAUCAUAGAAUCAUGGAAUCAUUAAGAUUGGAAAGCACCACUAAGAUCAUCAAGUCCAACCACCAACUCAUCAUCCUCAUGCCCUCUACACCCCCGUGCCCUUCAUUUCCUCUGAAGCCUCCAGCUUGGAGCACUGAGAGUGGCUGGGAAGAAGGGCAUUUCUGCUUUGCCUUUGUCUGCAUCUGAGAUCUGUAGGCAUAAACACGAUCUGUGCUCCUUCACACACAGCACUCCUAGAUAAUGGGAAAAAUAAGUGGAACCACGAGUUAGUCACCCUCAUACCUUCUAAACUCCUGUGCCCAUUAUUUUUUCUGAAGUCUUUGCCCAUAGCAAGGAGUUUGGAGCUAGAUGAUCUUUGAGGUUCUUUACAACUCAAGCCAUUCUGUGAUUCUAUGAUUUACCAAGCAGUGUCAUUGCAGAGCUUAUCUGCCAUGUACAUGGAACUGCCCAACGUUGAGGUGGGAAGGAGAUAGAGGUGAAAUCCAUCAGGAGCAGAGUGGCUGGAAGGAAAGGCAAAGCUCUGAAAUCUCAGUUCUAAAACCGAAGUGAAAGGGUAGGCGAGGUGUGAGCAGCCCAUGCCUCCACAACACGUCUCCCACCUGGUUUCCCCCUCAGUGGCUGAGCUCUGAAAACCUCUUGGGAAAACCAUCAGCCCUGGGAGGCUGCGUGGGUUUAAAGUCGAGAAAUGCAGUUCAGAGAUGAUUCUCUUUUGCUUGCCAUGCAGUUGUCUUUUUUUUUCUAUGCUUCUCGAUUGGAGCGGAUGUGACUCGUCUCAUCAAAUUGGCAUCCGCAGGGUAGAUGCUGAUUUCAGCAGCAGUCACCCAGGGCUCCCGAACGGACUGCAGGGAUUGAGCCAAGGCAGCUGAAGGAGUCCAGGGCAUGAUUCAUCUCUGCUUCCACUCCACGUCUAAAAUAGGUCUGGAAAGUUCAGCUCAGAAAGUGCCGAUUUUUCUCUGCUGGCUGUGAAAGAUGCUGACGGUGGUCAGCUCAGCUGUAGUCCCCGUUGUGGACAUCCAUGUCAUCAGGUGGAUCCUAUCCAAAUGGUUCCUGGAUGGGUUUUUGAGCAGUGCUCAGCACAUGGGGCAUGUCUUUGGUUGCUGCAGAUGUGCCUUUAGUGUAAAUAAUACCAACAUGCUCGAGGACACAUAUUCUCCCUUAUUAUUCCACCUCCAUGUACAUACACUUACGUCUACCACAGGUUGAUCCAUAUUUGCUAAUAUAAGAAGACUAAGGGUAGGGGGGCCGGGUGGGUGAGCGUGCAGUGCUUGAUAUGAAUAGGGUGAGAUAGGCUGAUAUCAUCAGACAACAGCAUUUCUGCAUCCUGAUUGAUUGAGGUGCUCUGUUUCCACAUUAACUUGCAAUAAAGUGCUCUCUCAUGCCGAUACGCAUUCAUCAUGUGCAAUUGUGGAGACUGUUUAUAACUUAAUUUACUCCGAGGUAAUGAUGAUUAUAUCUAAAUAUUUAUGGAGAGGUCAGUGCAAGUAAAUUUCUCAGUAAUUCUGUUUUGCUUUUCUUUUCUUUCUCUUUUCUUCAGCCAGCCAAAUUAUCUCAAUGCUCCCUACAGACCUUCUGCUAAUUCCUUUGUUUGCAGUGACAGUUAGUGGAAAAAGAAGGCUGAUUAACUGCAGGCUGCCUCUGUGCCGAGCCAGCCAAGUCUAACCAGAGGUGUAUGGCUCGUCUCUCCCUUUUAAUUUUGAACUGCAGGAAAGUCAUGGGCCAGAGCUGUCUAUUAGAAUAUAUCUAAAUCAUGCAUGUGUUUGUGUGUGCUAGCAGCACAAGCUUCACACCAGUGCUUUCACAAUUGAUGCUCUCUGCAGUUGUGAAAGUGGGCAGCACUACGAUGGGAGCACUGGUUGUUCUUCCUCUGCCGAUGAUUUUUUCAGUUCAGACCAUAACUGAUCAUCUUUGAGGUGGAUUAUAUACACCUUAGAGUGCCGGUUAAUUUCGGAGUGUGGGCAUUUCCCCAUUUCUUCUAUUUGCUCUUUGUGCUUUUUAUCUCAUAAGACACACAGCACCACGGAGGUUCCAUCGCUUCUGAUGGGAUUUAGCCCUGUGGAGCUGUGGUUUGUAGGCAUCUCACAGCCUCUCUGCUGAUAUGAGGGCUAGAUGAGCUGGAAUUCAUCUCCCAGAAAUUCCUGGAGGCAACAUGGAAAAUGGACCACUGUGUUAUCUCAGAGAGAAUAGGAAUUCCACGAUAUUGAUAUGAAAGAGCUGAGAGGAUGUUUCAUUUUGAUAUCCUACAAGAAACAUCUGUUGAGCACCAUGCUUCUUGGCUCUCCUCACCCCAAACACAGAGCUCCAAUACAUCACCACCUUCUUUUCCUUCUCCUCUGUUGGCCAUGUUCAUUGUCUUUGUGUAGCUCUGAGUGCUGUGCUUGGUGCAGAACUGGUUGCUAUUCGUAUGCUCCCACCCAUCAGUGCUCCAUGUGACUUUUAAGACCUCCCCUCACCCUACCUUAACUGCUCCUUGUCUUUGCCUUUGACUUGUUGGUAUCCUUCACACACGCUCCACAGUUUCUUCUGCUUUUACCUUUUCUCAGUUGUAUUUUCCCUGGAGGAGCAGUAGAAGCCCAGCCACCAUGCAUUCCCUGUGCUACACCAUGCCAAAGGGAUACCAAAACUCAGUGACUGGAGCCAAAUGUUUGUUCCAUGUAUCUGUGCAUCAGUGAUUUGGGGGGUUUGCAGCGCUGGCUGAAACGCGCAGGCCAGCUGCCUGCCGGUGGCAGCAGGAAAACAGGCAGACAAAGCAGAUGGACCCAGCAGGGGUGGAGGAGCGCUGUCUUCAGCGGGCCAUAGGCAUCACUGAAGAGUAAACAGCUCUCCGAAGGGAGCCGGGAGCUAACCCCAAACCCAUCCUCUCCAAAGCACUCAAUCACAGCACAUUAACAAGAGCGCCUGGACUGCUGGGGGAGAGUAAACAAUGAGAGGCCUUGCUGGCGGGAGAGUGGGAAAAGCGCAGCCCCCCUCCAGCUCAUAUUUAUUGUAAGAGGGUGUAAAAAGUGGCUCGUGGCUCAGCAUGCUGUCAGCGAGCCGCGCUCGUUGUCAGUGCUCAUCUUGUAGGAAAGCCGCCCUUUGCCUUCGUGGGUUGAGUGGGUGCCUGCGCGCUGCUGGACACGCAGGGAUGCUCAGCGAGGCCAGGAGGCAGCAGCAGAAGUGAGAGGCGAAACCUUCCCUCCCACAGGCGAAUGUGCUUCGAUGCUUGCCCUAAACCAGGCAGGGGUAGCAUCGGGGCUACCGCUCCUUCCAACCACAGCCACUCAAGUGAGCCGCCUGUUUGGAUGAGGGAAGCGUGUUGGGGACCCAGCGCUACUGUCCAGAGCAGGAGGGGGAGAUCUCCUCCUGUCCAUACCAGUGUGACUUCCUUGGUUUGAGAGCGGCUUCUGAUUUAUGCCCAGGGGCUGGAGCCCGCUCACCGGGCGCUGCUCUUUCAUCUGCAACGUUGCAGAGAAAUUUGUUUACAGAGCUCUUGGCGCGCUCACAGAUUCUUUCUCCCCUUCCCCCUUUUCCUCCAAAUCAGCUACAGUUUUCCCUCUCCCUUGGCUCCCGCUGCAAAACCGAUUGACCUUUCUGGGCUGUGUCUGACACAUGAACCGUGCAAAAUCCUUUCUUCUCCCCGAGCCCUGUGCUUGCUUGGGAACGUGGCUGCCUGGAGGAGUGCAAACAGGAGCCCUCCAGCAGCCCUUUGCUGCAUUUCUGAGGGCUGCUUUGCUUGUAAUGCUGCGCAUCCUUGAGAGUGGGUGGCUGUGUGUGCUGUGGCUGAGCUCCCCAGUGCUCUUUGCAAACACUGAUGAUAGGAUGAGGAGGAAUGUCCUCAAGUUGUGCCUGGGGAUGUUCAGAUUGGAUACUAAGAAAAACUUUGUUCCAAAAGAGUGGUGCUGCAGUGGCACAGGCUGCCCAGGGAGGUGGUGGGGUCACCGUCCCUGGAGGUGUUCCAGAACCAUGGAGAUGUGGCACUGAGGGAUAUGAUCAGCAUUGUGGGAUGGGUUGAUGGUUGGACUUUUUCACCCUUAAUUAUUCUAUGAUUUCUAUGAUUCUAUGCCACUGUUGUGUUCCAGCGCUACUGAAUUUCAGCCAAAGUCUGAAAAUUUCUGAUCCAGUUGUUCCCUGCUCCCAGUGGGAUGUAUCCACAUGGAAAUAGCAAAAGGACAUUUUUUUUUCUCAUCAGGAACACUCAGCAGAGCACUUGUAGGGUGCAGAGAGCUGAUCUUACUAGCUUUGUGGUAGUAGCUUUGUGAUUUAACCUGGAAAAAGAGUUGUCUGUGCUUGGCCCAUUGAGCCACAGAAGAGAUAACAAAAGCCACCAAUUUGUCAUAAAUAUAGAAUAUAGUUCUUUUUUUUUUUUUUUUUUUAAAUUAAAUCUAGUGGUUGGCCAACCUGCCCACGGGGAUUGAAAUUAGAUGAUUUUUUUUAAGGACCCCUCCAACCCAGGUCAUUCUGUGAUUCUCUGAUUCUCUGACUGAUACUUUCUACCUCUCUUGAGGGUAAAGAAGCAUGGUGGAAGGGACAAGUGGUCUGGUGGCCUGGCUGAGAUAAUCUCUGCAGCCAUUUCCAAAGGCUUACAUCAGUCUGCUGUGAAACCAAAGCACUCUUUAAUCCUUCCUGAGCACAUGUUGAACCUGGGCCGUUGGGCCACAUAUUGACUCAGGUUCAGCUUUGUUGUGUUGCUCAUCUGUGCUGCAAGAGAGGGGUUCAGAAGCAGCUUUCCAUUGGCAGCAGGUGGAAAUUGAGCUGUUCUUCAAUCGUGCCAGUGACUGCUAAAGCUGACCUUAUCCUGUCUGUCUUGUAUUUUAAAAGCUGGAGUUUGAGGCAGGUGAAAACAUACAGGUGUUUUCUUCUUCUUGUCUAAAGUAGCUGUGUUAUAUGCCUUGGUGAAACCUGAGCUUAAUUCACCUUGGCCAUAACAUAUCAGAGGAAAUAUCAACAGUAUAAAUCAUAGCAAACACGAGGAUGGAGCUCUGAGAAAGUGCCAAAGUGGCCAAGAAUACAUUAAUAAUGAAGGCUGCUCUGGCUCAGUUGCAAGACAAAAAGGUCCCAUCUGUACAAAAAGGCAUCAAAUUGCCCCAGAAAAGAAAACCAUGCAAGCUGAGCCUUCUCUGAAACUCAAAGCACAGGGAUCCUCUGGGGAACCCAACCCUGUCUGGGUGGUACUCAGCAAGGGGAGCUCUCCUGGACCAGGCCAUACCCUCGACCCAUUCCCACACUCGCGAAUGUCAGCAGAAGAUUUUCACGAGAUUCAGGGAGAGCAGUGAUGUAACUCAACGAUGGGAUCUCCCCCCUUUCUCUGGAAAAAAAUAAGUCUUCAAAUUGAGUAAAAUAUAAAAGCGCUUUCUUAGCUUAGGCCUCCUACAAGUGAAUUCCUCUGGUGCCAGUGAUGGGCUCCUAUUCUCCCUGGGAAAUACAUCAAUUUGAUUUUCUCCCUCAAAGGAUUCGUCACUGAAAGACAACACCACCCUCUUCCACCCAGCUUUUCAGUUGCCUCCAGGUGCUUGGGGAAUACCAGUGAAAGGAGCCGCUCCUUGCUUCUUUUCCUUCCCCUUUUAUUUCUCAUGAUUGCUUCCUCUCUGAUCUUUUUUUUUUUUCCCCUUGAAAGAACACCUUCCUUCCCACCGACUGCACUGCCUGCUGUGGCUCAGCAUGUCCCAACAUCCGUCCUGGCAGCCGUCCCUCCCUUCCAAUCUGAUUCCUCUAUAUUUUCAUUAUUUGUUGAAUAAAAUUACUGAUAGCAGCAACAGAGCCCAAGUGCAUAGACCAUGCUGCAGGGUGGAUGCAGAACUGCACUCUUGAUGUAACUGUAGAAUAAUUCCACAUCUGCAGCAGAGAGUGGCAGAGCCCCUGUCACUGUUUCUAUGGGACUGCUGGUGAUGGGCAGCUCUCCUUGUGGUGUGAUGAAUAUUCAGCAGCCCCCCAUCUCCCCUGGACACUGAAAGAGUUCACUCAGGUGGCUGACAAGAAAUGUGGUGGACUCCAAGCAUGCCCUGAUGUUUUCAUCCCUGAUGUUCCCCUUCUGUCUCCCCUAGGGUUUAACCUCUGUGACACCAGUUUUUCUCCCGUGACCAAAUACAUGCUCCUGAAUUUGGGGAGGAUGCAUGUGUUUAUCAGAGUUGUGUGAAAUGCUCUACUUCUUCCUUGCAGGAGGACAGAAGAGGAAAUGGUUUGUUUUGAAGAUGUGCCAUGAUAGGCAAUUCAUGCUUGCUUAUGUUUUCACACAUGCCAGCUUGGAUAACUUGGGUGGAAAACUGAAGUGAAGCAAAGUCCUCAGCCUCUCAUAGCUUUGGCAGCAGUCACCAGUGGCCUCCUAGAGCUGAGCUGUUGGAGAGCAUCUUGACCCCAACCCAAGGGCUGGAGGUGACUGCUACACUGCUGUUUUAGGGAUCUUGAGUACUCUAAGUGUUUUAUUUCCUAAAGCAAACAAAAAUGCUGCUCCCAUCUGCCCUUCAGAGGCACUUAGGAGGCAUCCGAGUAAGCUCUUAGUUUUGGGAAUGAGUUUGCCUUCUUCCCUGAGAUAUGAUAGCCUGCAACUCAGGAGGAGUUCAUGGAGCAUGCCAUAUUCCUGACUGCCCAGGAGCGUUCUAUCAGCCCAUUGCAGGCCUGAUACUGGAUUAAGGACAAAAGCUUUCCAGCCAGCAGUAGGGAUGCAUGAAGUUUCGUCUGUGAAAGACCACAGAACACUUUGGGGUUGUUGGAAGAUGGGUUUUGUAUGCAGCACAUCCCGCAUUUCAAUGCUGCUUUCCAGAGCUGUUUGCUAGCAAAUUGCCAGGAUUUGAAAUUCAGGUAGGUUGCAGGAUGAAAAAAUACCCUUCCCACAUUGCUAUGACCUUUUUGGUGGUUUAUUUGUUAAAGGCAUUACUGUUCCCCUCGGGAAUGGUGCCUUCCUCUGUUUUAUGCUCUAAGGAUGUGGCUCUUUUCAUGUUUAUCUUUGAUUCAAGCAUUGUAAAGAGCAAUCCCUCGCACUUACGUGCUUCAUUGUAUUCUGGCCAUGAGAGAUUCUCCCCCACUGUUUGUAGCCUUUUUUCAGUGCAGCUAGUAAAAUAUUUGAACAGGAAAAAAAAAAAAAAAAAAAAGAAAGAAAAAAGAAGAAAGAAAAAAAAAGAAAGAAAAAGAGACACUAAACAGCUUCCAGCAUUUAGAGGAUAAAAUGAGAUGUAAGGAAAAGGACGACUGUGGUUAAUGCACAGGGCUGGGAGGCCUCAGAUGGACCAUGGCCUCUCUUCGUUUCUCUUCUGACUUCUUCUGUGACUUUGUCUAAGUCAUUUGACCUCCUCCUGCUGUAGCUCUGGGGUGUUAAACACACACUAUGUUUUCUGCUGAGAAAACCCAAGCUUGCUGUCCCCAGAGAGCAGAGCUCAGCACUGCCCAUCCGCUCCCGAUGAGGAACUGUAUGGCCGUGAGCCCUCAUCAUCCUCUGCUCUGUGCCCAACAAACCCAGGGCUGUCAGCUACCGCUCAGACUCCUUGCCCUCCCCUGUGGAUGCAUAUCAGCACGUGAUACAGCCUGGUUUUGCUUCCCUAAUUUUGGAUGACACAUGGAAGCUGAUUUGCACAGGGUGAAUGCAAACCAAUGGCUCAUCCACUGAAAAAUAAUUAAAUUUCAAUGGGUUACAGCAGGCAAGCUGGAAUCCAAGGAUCCUAAGGUUGGUUAUGUUGGGGUGCUUAAGGGGAAACCUCCAGUGGGCAAGGAUCUGUUGUAGUCCAGAUAAGCCCUCACAA
This is a long non-coding RNA of Tympanuchus pallidicinctus (lesser prairie-chicken), 21312 nucleotides long. RefSeq lists it as uncharacterized. Lineage: Eukaryota; Metazoa; Chordata; Aves; Galliformes; Phasianidae. The record is from RefSeq and is a predicted model, not a curated record. The transcript is spliced from 2 exons.